UUUUUUUUUUUUUUUUUUUUUUUUAAAUCUCUUCAUUUCACUUGCCAUUCAGACUCUAUCUGCACGGUUUUCCAUUGCAAAUGGCGGUCCAUGUCCAGUCCGUAGAGAACUUAACCAGCAGAUGGACCGUCGCUGCCCGGUGCUGUGACUUCUGCAAAACGGCAACCGCUGCUGUGUUUUGCCGAGCUGACUCGGCUUUCCUUUGUCUCAAUUGUGACACCAAGAUCCAUGCCGCGAAUAAGCUCGUGUCCAGACACGAGCGUAUUUGGAUGUGCGAGGUUUGUGAACAAGCACCAGCUGCCGUCAACUGCAAGGCUGACGCUGCUGCCCUCUGCGUCACCUGCGAUGCAGAUAUUCACUUGGCUAAUCCUCUUGCUC
This 378-nucleotide unclassified non-coding RNA is filed under the name Hevea brasiliensis (rubber tree). Lineage: Eukaryota; Viridiplantae; Streptophyta; Magnoliopsida; Malpighiales; Euphorbiaceae. The record is from RNAcentral.